Scatophagus argus is the source of this 1546-nucleotide long non-coding RNA. RefSeq lists it as uncharacterized. The record is from RefSeq and is a predicted model, not a curated record. Lineage: Eukaryota; Metazoa; Chordata; Actinopteri; Scatophagidae. The transcript is spliced from 3 exons.
UCGCCUGUUUCAUCCUGUUCUCUCUCAUCUGUUCAACAGUGACGCUGCUUUUUAUUAAGGUGGAGUGACAGGGACCAGGGAAAUUAACCAAAUCGACUCAGAUGAAAAGAUAAAUUGCUGUAGCCUAUUUUAAAUUAAAGUAUCGGGACUGAAUUGAUUUGGGUAAUUAAAAAUGACCUGCUCUUUGAUUGCCAAGAAGAUAACGUCCACUCAUUCCUCUUUGGUGUGCCAGUGUUUCCAGUACAGCAUGUUUCACCGAAGAGCUUCACAGUGAGAGAGCUAGCAGGUGUCCUCUAGACCUACACUACCCACACGAGUGAAACUGGGCAGUCUUACCUGCUGUGCACCUGUCCUGAGUUCUCUGCAAUCAACUCCACCCUAAACUCAGCCUUCUUAAGACUGGCCUUCCCCUGCCCUCAUCCCCAGAUUGUUCCUGCACUUGUGCAGUAGAGUAUCGGCUCCAUUUUGUCUCUGGAUCUCUGUCUCAUGCUGUUUGGAAACCUACCUUUUGUCUUUUUGUGCUACGGUUCACCAGUUUGCGUCUGCCAGUCUGUUCAGCUCAGUUCCUGCCUUUGUUUUCCCAGCCUUUGUUUCAGACUCACCGGUCUUCAGCUCUGGUGGAAAAUCAUUUUUUGUUCAUAGGGACCAUGUGCACUCACCUGCUGCCCCUUCGACUUGGAUUGUAGUAGAAGGGCUCUUGUUAGUUAGUCUUAAGACUAUGUUUUUGUGAAAUGAUUUUUGCACAAGCCUAAGUAAAAGCUUUAAUUUCACUUUAACUUUGGUUUCAAGCAUCUGCUUUUGGGAUCUUAUUAUGAGAAAAGCAUAGCAGCGCCACUAUGACCAUCAUCAUACACCCAGGACAAAAUAAUGACAGUGGUAUGUAAAUUCUUCAAGAGUGGCUGAGGACAGUCAGGAGACUGGGACAUUAUCUGUGUACAAUGGAUUUAUGUCACAGGUAAAAUAAUCAGUGAGUUAAACUGAUAAUUGAAAAAUAUCCUGUUCAUACCUGGAUUGCACACUGGAUUUGUCAAACUUCAAAUGCUAUGAAAGUACAAAAGAUGAAGAUGGCCAAAUGUGAAACAAGUUUUUUACAUUUAGAGUUAUGCUGGAGAGUGAAAUAAUGGAGGGAUAGUAAUGCUGUAAUGAGGUGUUCUCAUGAUUUUGAGAUUAUGUUGGGAAGGGUGAGAGAAUCAAAAGAUUUGUUGAUGUUUUGAAUUUAUAGACAAACCAUAAAAAUGUUAGUCUUUGUAAAGUUCAGAUAAUUUGUAAUUAACUAUCUUUUAUUUAUUUAUCCUUUUUUUUUUGAAAAAAACCUGGGUAACUCAGGGAAACCAAAAUUUAUUGUGAUGUGAAUUUAUCUGCAAGCAGAGAGAGAGAGAGAGAGAGAGAGAGAGAGAGAGAGAGAGAGAGAGAGAGAGAGAGAGCAGGAAGUUGUUGUUUUUGCCCCUGCUCUCUAUAGGCCAUGUGGAUAUAAGGCUCCACAAUACGAUGCAAGUCUCAUGCUGUGUUCACACUGUAGAAUAAAGAAGUCACCUGGUGCCACUGC